UCUCCGUUGGUGAACCAGCGGAGGGAUCAUUACCGAGUUUACAACUCCCAAACCCCUAUGUGAACGUUACCAAACCGUUGCCUCGGCGGGAAAUUCAUGCCCCGGGCGCGUCGCAGCCCCGGACCAAGGCGCCCGCCGGAGGACCAACCAAAACUCUUUUGUAUGUCCCUCGCGGACUUUUAUAAUUCUGAACCAUCUCGGCGCCCCUAGCGGGCGUUUCGAAAAUGAAUCAAAACUUUCAACAACGGAUCUCUUGGUUCUG
This 262-nucleotide unclassified non-coding RNA is filed under the name plant metagenome. RNAcentral describes it as "partial contains small subunit ribosomal RNA, internal transcribed spacer 1, and 5.8S ribosomal RNA". The record is from RNAcentral.